CUUCCUUUAUUUCAUUCUAUAGUCGUAUGCACUCUUCAGUUAAUCUCAAAGUGCCUAAUUAAAAUCUACAAAAUCCUCCCUAUCAGUUUGCUAUUUGAGAGGAGCGAAGCAGUGUCAAGGUUUGUAAAUGGGAUCCUUGUAAAAUGGCUAUUACAAGGAGUUGUGAAUGGAAAUCACGAUCCAAAGCAGGCGAAGCAUUUGAAAGUGAAGAAGGCCGAAAGUCACAAACGGAGUUCGUGAAGAAACCCCCAAAACUGCGAUUGAAACGCGAAAACCCAAAUUGAAGGAGGUAAGUUAAUUUUGUUUCCUUUGAGAUUAUGGGUAAUUCACUUUUCAAAUUUAUUAGGUGAGUACGUACAACUAACUAUAAAUUUGGUUGGAAAAUUUUCCAAUUCAAGAAAUACGGUUUAUAUUGCUAAAUAUUAUGCAUAUCUAUUACCGUCUGAAAAAUAGUGUUUCAUGUUCGUCUGUGACCUAUUAAUAUGAUCCUUGUGACCAAUAUGUUUUGUGACUAUAAUGGUGGGUGUGUCCAAUUUGGAUUGUUACCCGAUUACAUGGAAAAUAAUGUUUCAUUUUUUUACUUGGGUUUUGUGAGUAAUCAACAGAGAUGAAAAAUUAGACAAUCUUUCAUGGUGGGUCCUAAUCAACUACAUUGAGUGCUGUUAAUUUCAAAUGUAUGGAAUAUGUAUUGUGACCAACAAUAUGAACAAUAUAGAAUGUAUGGAAUGUGUAGUGUGUUUCAUUUUCGUUUGUGACCUAUUAAUAUGUUCCUUGUGACCAUUAUGUUCUGUGACUAUAAUGGUGGGUGUGUCCAAUAUGGAUUGUUACCCGGUUUCAUGGAAAAUAGUGUUUUCAUUUUUUUCAUCUGGGUUGUAUGAGUAAUCAACAGAGAUGAAAAAUUAAGCAAUCUUUCAUGGUGGGUCCUAAUCAACUAUAUUGAGUGCUGUUAAUUUUUCAGAUUUUACUUCAUAUUUUAUUUAAUGUGAUGCAGGAAUGGAAAUAUAUGAAAUCCAUGCCGAUGACGUUUGAUGCUAGUUGAGCUAGGAUGGACAUUGCCCAAUUACUCUUUAAACAAAAGGAAAUCAAGAAGCCGACAAAGCCGAUGAAGCCAAAGGGAGAGAGCAUUCAAAUAUAUUGAUUGUGGAAUCCCAGUUUAGUGACUAGUAGAUGUGCGAUGUUUAUGAAUGUUGGAAACAUGAUGCAUGAAUAUUUUGAAUCAUUUAUGUUCAUGAAAUAGACUGGAA
This 1244-nucleotide long non-coding RNA is filed under the name Olea europaea subsp. europaea. Lineage: Eukaryota; Viridiplantae; Streptophyta; Magnoliopsida; Lamiales; Oleaceae. The record is from RNAcentral.